RNAcentral lists this ribosomal RNA (480 nucleotides) under uncultured bacterium. RNAcentral describes it as "bacterial SSU rRNA". It matches the Rfam family "Bacterial small subunit ribosomal RNA", at positions 903 to 1397 of the family's 1533-position model. The record is from RNAcentral.
AAAUGAAUAGACGGGGACCCGCACAAGCGGUGGAGCGUGUUGUUUAAUUCGAUGGUAAACGAAGAACCUUACCCAGGUUUGACAUCCUUGGAAUCUUCCCGAAAGGGAAGAGUGCUUUUAGAACCAAGUGACAGGUGUUGCAUGGCCGUCGUCAGCUCGUGUCGUGAGAUGUUUGGUUAAGUCCAUCAACGAGCGCAACCCUUGUGGUCUGUUGUAUUUUUCAGGCCAAACUGCCCUGGUAACAGGGAGGAAGGAGGGGAUGAUGUCAGGUCAGUAUUACCCUUACAUCUGGGGCUACAAACACGCUACAAUGGCCGGUACAAAGGGCAGCCAAGUCGCAAGACGGAGCAAAUCCCAUCAAAACCGGUCUCAGUUCGGAUAGCAGGCUGAAACUCGCCUGCUUGAAGCCGGAAUCGCUAGUAACGGUAGGUCAGCUAUACUACCGUGAAUACGUUCCCGGGUCUUGUACACACCGCCCGU